Hibiscus syriacus is the source of this 515-nucleotide long non-coding RNA. RefSeq lists it as uncharacterized. The record is from RefSeq and is a predicted model, not a curated record. Lineage: Eukaryota; Viridiplantae; Streptophyta; Magnoliopsida; Malvales; Malvaceae. The transcript has 4 exons.
UUUCAGUAAAUCAGAUGCCACAAAACUUAAACCUUUGAAGUAAAAAAUUUCCCGUGUCUCAUGACCUUCCUCUGUCAUAUGUUUAGCUACAGAUUAGAGCAAAUGUUUUAACUUAUAAUGUACAAAUUUACAAAUGAGGAUUCCAUGAAAGAAAGUCCAAAAGAUGAAAGUAACGAUAUAGGAGACGAUUUUAAAACCCGUUGUUUUAAAACGGCUGGCAUCGCCUUUGUUGCCAUGAGAUCAAAUAAUUCAGAGUUGCCAGAUUUGAGUCCACUUCAAGAUUCUUUUAGCAAUGAAGCUGAUGCGGACACUUGGUUCAAAAUGAAUAAAGGCUAAGUUGCAGAUCUUGAUUCACUUCAAACAACUCCUGCAAGAAAAGUUCAAUCAUUUCCACCCCAAGAUAUAGCUCCUGAUUUCUCAAAUGAUAACUACAAAGCACAACUCCAAAAUCUCAAGAGACGGAUAGAACUUGUCAUCGAAGAGAAGAAUGAACUGGAGAUCAAAGAAUGAAGAAG